CAACUCCUUCAGAGUUGACCUCGGAUCAGGUAGGAAUACCCGCUGAACUUAAGCAUAUCAAUA
This 63-nucleotide ribosomal RNA is filed under the name Tolypocladium japonicum. RNAcentral's name for it is "partial 28S ribosomal RNA". Lineage: Eukaryota; Fungi; Ascomycota; Sordariomycetes; Hypocreales; Ophiocordycipitaceae. The record is from RNAcentral.